Molecule: ribosomal RNA, 983 nt
Filed under: uncultured Alteromonas sp.
Lineage: Bacteria; Pseudomonadati; Pseudomonadota; Gammaproteobacteria; Alteromonadales; Alteromonadaceae
Description: bacterial SSU rRNA
Rfam family: Bacterial small subunit ribosomal RNA
Source: RNAcentral
CGGUAACAGGAUGUGCUUGCACAUCGCUGACGAGUGGCGGACGGGUGAGUAAUGCUUGGGAACUUGCCUUUACGAGGGGGAUAACAGUUGGAAACGACUGCUAAUACCGCAUAAUGUCUUCGGACCAAACGGGGCUUAGGCUCCGGCGCAAAGAGAGGCCCAAGUGAGAUUAGCUAGUUGGUAAGGUAAUGGCUUACCAAGGCGACGAUCUCUAGCUGUUCUGAGAGGAAGAUCAGCCACACUGGGACUGAGACACGGCCCAGACUCCUACGGGAGGCAGCAGUGGGGAAUAUUGCACAAUGGGGGAAACCCUGAUGCAGCCAUGCCGCGUGUGUGAAGAAGGCCUUCGGGUUGUAAAGCACUUUCAGUUGUGAGGAAAAGUUAGUAGUUAAUACCUGCUAGCCGUGACGUUAACAACAGAAGAAGCACCGGCUAACUCCGUGCCAGCAGCCGCGGUAAUACGGAGGGUGCGAGCGUUAAUCGGUAUUACUGGGCGUAAAGCGCACGCAGGCGGUUUGUUAAGCUAGAUGUGAAAGCCCCGGGCUCAACCUGGGAUGGUCAUUUAGAACUGGCAGACUAGAGUCUUGGAGAGGGGAGUGGAAUUCCAGGUGUAGCGGUGAAAUGCGUAGAUAUCUGGAGGAACAUCAGUGGCGAAGGCGACUCCCUGGCCAAAGACUGACGCUCAUGUGCGAAAGUGUGGGUAGCGAACAGGAUUAGAUACCCUGGUAGUCCACACCGUAAACGCUGUCUACUAGCUGUGUGUGUCUUUAAGACGUGCGUAGCGAAGCUAACGCGCUAAGUAGACCGCCUGGGGAGUACGGCCGCAAGGUUAAAACUCAAAUGAUUGACGGGGGCCCGCACAAGCGGUGGAGCAUGUGGUUUAAUUCGAUGCAACGCGAAGAACCUUACCUACACUUGACAUGCUGAGAAGUUACUAGAGAUAGUUUCGUGCCUUCGGGAACUCAGACACAGGUGCUGCAUGG